This 499-nucleotide ribosomal RNA is filed under the name uncultured bacterium. RNAcentral describes it as "partial 16S ribosomal RNA". It matches the Rfam family "Bacterial small subunit ribosomal RNA", at positions 28 to 507 of the family's 1533-position model. The record is from RNAcentral.
GACGAACGCUGGCGGCGUGCCUAAUACAUGCAAGUCGAGCGAAGUUUUUCUGGUGCUUGCACUAGAAAAACUUAGCGGCGAACGGGUGAGUCACACGUAAAGAACCUGCCUCAUAGACUGGGACAACUAUUGGAAACGAUAGCUAAUACCGGAUAACAGUAUUUCUCGCAUGAGAGAUAUUUAAAAGUUGGUUAUGCUAACACUAUGAGAUGGCUUUGCGGUGCAUUAGCUAGUUGGUGGGGUAAAGGCCCACCAAGGCGACGAUGCAUAGCCGACCUGAGAGGGGGAUAGGCCACACUGGGACGGAGACACGGCCCAGACUCCUACGGGAGGCAGCAGUAGGGAAUCUUCCGCAAUGGGCGAAAGCCUGACGGAGCAACGCCGCGUGAGUGAGGAAGGAUUUCGGUUCGUAAAGCUCUGUUGUUAGGGAAGAAUGGAUAUGUAGUAACUAUACAUGUAAGAGACGGUACCUAACCAGAAAGCCACGGCUAACUACGUG